UGGGGAAUAUUGCGCAAUGGGGGGAACCCUGACGCAGCCAUGCCGCGUGAAUGAAGAAGGCCUUCGGGUUGUAAAGUUCUUUCGGUAUUGAGGAAGGUUGAUGUGAUAAUAGCACAUCAAAUUGACGUUAAAUACAGAAGAAGCACCGGCUAACUCCGUGCCAGCAGCCGCGGUAAUACGGAGGGUGCGAGCGUUAAUCGGAAUAACUGGGCGUAAAGGGCACGCAGGCGGUUAUUUAAGUGAGGUGUGAAAGUCCUGGGCUUAACCUAGGAAUUGCAUUUCAGACUGGGUAACUAGAGUACUUUAGGGAGGGGUAGAAUUCCACGUGUAGCGGUGAAAUGCGUAGAGAUGUGGAGGAAUACCGAAGGCGAAGGCAGCCCCUUGGGAAUGUACUGACGCUCAUGUGCGAAAGCGUGGGGAGCAAACAGGAUUAGAUACCCUGGUAGUCCACGCUGUAAACGCUGUCGAUUUGGGGGUUGGGGUUUAACUUUGGCGCCCGUAGCUAACGUGAUAAAUCGACCGCCUGGGGAGUACGGCCGCAAGGUUA
RNAcentral lists this ribosomal RNA (547 nucleotides) under uncultured bacterium. RNAcentral's name for it is "bacterial SSU rRNA". It matches the Rfam family "Bacterial small subunit ribosomal RNA", at positions 355 to 896 of the family's 1533-position model. The record is from RNAcentral.